This 340-nucleotide unclassified non-coding RNA is filed under the name Clavariaceae sp. Its description in RNAcentral is "partial contains 5.8S ribosomal RNA, internal transcribed spacer 2, and large subunit ribosomal RNA". The stretch from base 1 to 71 matches the Rfam family "5.8S ribosomal RNA", at positions 84 to 154 of the family's 154-position model. Lineage: Eukaryota; Fungi; Basidiomycota; Agaricomycetes; Agaricales; Clavariaceae. The record is from RNAcentral.
GUGAAUCAUCGAAUCUUUGAACGCACCUUGCGCCCUUUGGUAUUCCGAAGGGCAUGCCUGUUUGAGUGUCAUUAAAAUCUCAACUUCAAAAAUCUUUUGAAGCUUGGACUUUGGAGGUUAUUUGCAGGCAAGUAUAUUGUCAGCUCCUCUUAAAUGCAUUAGCGGAACUUUGUAAGGACCAGCUUUGGUUUGAUAAUCCUAUCUAUGCCGUUGCUGUGGACUCGUAUGUUCGGCUUCUAAUGGUCCUUUGGACUGUCUCUUUAUGAGGCAUACACUUUAAGCUUGACCUCAAAUCAGGUAGGACUACCCGCUGAACUUAAGCAUAUCAAUAAGCGGAGGA